This 388-nucleotide ribosomal RNA is filed under the name uncultured bacterium. RNAcentral describes it as "bacterial SSU rRNA". It matches the Rfam family "Bacterial small subunit ribosomal RNA", at positions 28 to 417 of the family's 1533-position model. The record is from RNAcentral.
GACGAACGCUGGCGGCGUGCUUAACACAUGCAAGUCGAGCGGUAAGGCCCUUUCGGGGGUACGACGAGCGGCGAACGGGUGAGUAACACGUGGGUGACCUGCCCUUAGCUCUGGGAUAAGCCUGGGAAACUGGGUCUAAUACCGGAUAUGACUCCAUAACGCAUGUUGUGGGGUGGAAAGCCUUGUGCGGCUAGGGAUGGGCCCGCGGCCUAUCAGCUUGUUGGUGGGGUGAUGGCCUACCAAGGCGACGACGGGUAGCCGGCCUGAGAGGGCGACCGGCCACACUGGGACUGAGACACGGCCCAGACUCCUACGGGAGGCAGCAGUGGGGAAUCUUGCGCAAUGGGCGAAAGCCUGACGCAGCGACGCCGCGUGGGGAUGACGGCCU